UCGAGAAUCAUUCACAAUGGGGGAAACCCUGAUGGUGCGACGCCGCGUGGAGGAUAAGGUCUUCGGAUUGUAAACUCCUGUCAUGUGAGAGUAAGGAUUUGCGGGUAACUCCGUAAAUUUUGAUAGUAUCACAAGAGGAAGAGACGGCUAACUCUGUGCCAGCAGCCGCGGUAAUACAGAGGUCUCAAGCGUUGUUCGGAAUCACUGGGCGUAAAGGGUGCGUAGGCGGCGUGGAAAGUCAGAUGUGAAAUCCGGGGGCUCAACCUCCGAAUUGCAUCCGAUACUACCAUGCUAGAGAACUGGAGGGGAGUCUGGAAUUCUUGGUGUAGCAGUGAAAUGCAUAGAUAUCAAGAGGAACACUAGUGGCGAAGGCGAGACUCUGGACAGUAUCUGACGCUCAUGCACGAAGGUCAGGGUAGCGAACGG
This 426-nucleotide ribosomal RNA is filed under the name uncultured bacterium. RNAcentral describes it as "bacterial SSU rRNA". It matches the Rfam family "Bacterial small subunit ribosomal RNA", at positions 355 to 775 of the family's 1533-position model. The record is from RNAcentral.